RNAcentral lists this ribosomal RNA (466 nucleotides) under uncultured bacterium. RNAcentral's name for it is "bacterial SSU rRNA". It matches the Rfam family "Bacterial small subunit ribosomal RNA", at positions 329 to 792 of the family's 1533-position model. The record is from RNAcentral.
UCCCAGACUCCUACGGGAGGCAGCAGUGAGGAAUAUUGGUCAAUGGGCGGAAGCCUGAACCAGCCAAGUCGCGUGAGGGAAGAAGGCCCUGCGGGUCGCAGACCUCUUUGGACGGGGAGCAAGGCCGCCGACGUGUCGGCGGAAGGAGAGUACCCGUAGAACAAGCAUCGGCUAACUCCGUGCCAGCAGCCGCGGUAAUACGGAGGAUGCGAGCGUUAUCCGGAUUUAUUGGGUUUAAAGGGUGCGUAGGCGGGCUUUUAAGUCAGCGGUAAAAAUUCGGGGCUCAACCCCGUCCGGCCGUUGAAACUGGCUGUCUUGAGAUGUCGAGAGGUAUGCGGAAUGCGCAGUGUAGCGGUGAAAUGCUUAGAUAUUGCGCAGAACUCCGAUUGCGAAGGCAGCAUACCGGCGGCGAUCUGACGCUGAGGCACGAAAGCGUGGGUAUCGAACAGGAUUAGAUACCCCCGUA